Molecule: ribosomal RNA, 253 nt
Filed under: uncultured bacterium
Lineage: Bacteria
Description: partial 16S ribosomal RNA
Rfam family: Bacterial small subunit ribosomal RNA
Source: RNAcentral
UACGUAGGGUGCGAGCGUUAAUCGGAAUUACUGGGCGUAAAGCGUGCGCAGGCGGUUUUGUAAGACAGUUGUGAAAUCCCCGGGCUCAACCUGGGAAUUGCAUCUGUGACUGCACAGCUAGAGUACGGUAGAGGGGGAUGGAAUUCCGCGUGUAGCAGUGAAAUGCGUAGAUAUGCGGAGGAACACCGAUGGCGAAGGCAAUCCCCUGGACCUGUACUGACGCUCAUGCACGAAAGCGUGGGGAGCAAACAGG